AGGGAUGCGUGCGCAGCCGUACUUCCUCCCCUUUCGAGGGGGAAGUGAGGAAAGUCCGGGCACCAACGGGCAGCCUGCUACCUAGCGGAUAGACGGUCGUAAGGUUGUGCGGACGUAGCAGAAAAUAACCGCUUACCUAUACCCUUGUGGUAGGGUAAGUAAGGGUGAAAAUGUGGGGUAAGAGCCCACGGCCCUACCCGGUGACGGGUGAGGGCGUACGUCGCCAGGUGGUGCAAGAUCAUGUAGGCCUACUGGGGCGCAAGCCCUUCGGGAUGCCCUCCCGAUGCCUACUCCCUCUCGGGGGAGAGCCAGUAGGUGGGUAGAUCGCUAGAACCCUUCGGCAACGAUGGGUCAAGAUAAAUGGCUGCUAACUGGGGGAUCUCCCUGGGAAACAGAACCCGGCUUACAGCGCAUCCCUCAUG
RNAcentral lists this RNase P RNA (422 nucleotides) under Bacteroidota bacterium. RNAcentral's name for it is "Bacteroidetes bacterium RNase P RNA component class A". It matches the Rfam family "Bacterial RNase P class A". Rfam says of the family: Ribonuclease P (RNase P) is a ubiquitous endoribonuclease, found in archaea, bacteria and eukarya as well as chloroplasts and mitochondria. Lineage: Bacteria; Pseudomonadati; Bacteroidota. The record is from RNAcentral.